GUUUAUAUAGUUUAAAAAUAAAACUUUACAUUUUCAUUGUAAAAAUAAAAUAUAUUAAUUUUUAUAAAUA
Molecule: transfer RNA, 70 nt
Filed under: Dudusa sphingiformis
Lineage: Eukaryota; Metazoa; Arthropoda; Insecta; Lepidoptera; Notodontidae
Description: tRNA-Glu
Source: RNAcentral